UUCAUUUACCUGAAGCACUAUAGCAAACAAUGCCUCAUAGUGGAUAGGUGGAUAUAAAAACCCCAAGAAGUUCAUUUCAGGCCAAAGGUGACCACUGCUUGCUUCCCUCACAUCUUUCUCUGCUGUGAACUCUACCAAAACCCCAAGAUGUGGGAGAUUGGGGGGGGGCAGGUAGGGAGGGUCCCUUUAGGCUCACUUUAGGAACUUUAGGUUCACUAGAAAGUAGUUCCUGGUAGGUCAGGAAAGCCUUACUUAGCAAGGGCUAAUGAAUUUAGGUCUCCAAAAUGUCAUAGAACAUCAGGGAUCUUUACUGCAACUUCUUUGUUCUUCUAAAUCCAGAGACAGCUCUGUCCCUUGAAGGACAAUGUUUAUUGAAGAGUCAACUCAGAGACCUUGUGCCCUUAGGCGUGGAAUACCUUAUCCUCUCCAAAGCACUUCCCUACAAGCACUAAAUUGGAGGAAAUUCCUUCCAGAGCUCAAGCCCAGAAGGCUGACAAUACUGUUAAUGGUAGUAUAUUGACAAAGAAAAGUUUAGGAGAUGGAAUGUGGGGGUCCAGGAUCCUCCCUGAAGGGCCCUCUGGAGUAGGGCCCCAGUGAACUGAUGAUAAAUAGUGCCUCCUGCUGCAGGGCAUACAAACAGCUAAAGAUCUGACCCCCUCAUGCCUUUAUUUCCCUGUGGGAGUUGUGUACAAUUUGGAAAGUAGAUCAAGGGCAUCCUGGCUCCCAGCUGACCACCCCACUUGCAGCCUGGACGUCUAGAGGCCUGGAGACCCCCCACCAUAGGCCAGCAAGCAGAGGUCCCCAAGUUCACAGGGCUAGUUCCACUUCCCCUGGGUUUCUGCUCUCUGGGGGACUGCCCUUUCCAGAACUUUUCCUCUGUAGGCAGCUCUUUCCAAGGCUCUCAAGACUCCAAACCAAAUUGUUUGGGGAGUGAAAAAGUGAAAGGACACAUCUUAGAGCAGCAGGGACCAGCUGCUGGGUCAACUCUCCCCAAAACAGAACUUCCUGGGAGUGCCUGGAGCAUUGUCUUUUAAAGCAAUUGUCUUUUAAAAAAUAACACACACAAAAAAUAUUUUCACUUGAAAGAAGGGGAGAGAGAAAAAGGAAAGAAAUUAAUUACUAAGGUUCUCCGUCUCCAAGGAAGUUCAGGGGGAAAUUUUAGGAACUUUGCGUCUGCUUUUUAUUGUAUUUACCCGGCCACCCUGCCAAGGGGAGGAUGAGAACUCUUUGCGCCUGGUGCACCAUUCAAAGCCCUGUGUGCUUAAUAGAGUGACACAAAUGUCUGUGUUUCUUUUUGCUUUUAACCAAAAGCUGUAGGGAGGGGCCAUCCUACAGUUGGAGAGGGCUCUGCCAGUUGGUUCCCGUCCCCCUCACCGAACUCGUUCCCAGCCGGGGCCAAACCAGCCCCGGCCGGAAGGGCCUACGGGCCGCAGCCUGGCGGCGGAGGGGCCGGGUACAGGGGUGGGGGUGGGGACGCGGACGCCGUUCCUACCGCCCGGCUUGAGGAGACUCGGAGCCGAGCGGGGCUAGCGUGGGCUCUGCCGAAUCACGCCGUGUGACUUCUUUUGCCAAAGGAAACUUUGGGAAGCAGGAGGUCGGCGAGUCCCUGCUUCCUCCCAUCCCCACCCCCACCCCGCCGCUCUCCCUCCUCCCACCCCUCUCCCUCCUCGGCCAAGGGACAGCUUUGGCCGAGGUCAGCUGGCUGCCUUUGUGGCUGCUUCCCAGGAAGGAAGAAGCGUUGUCUGCAGAUCAGUUUAUCAGCUGGCUUUCCUGUGCCGGAGCGCCGCCGUUUUCCGGGGACGGCUGCCACCCCCGUGAUUCCCAGCCUGGGCUGCGGGUGGUGCGUGAGAGCCAGAUAAAUAGGCCAUUGUGAGGCCGCUCAGAAUCCAGGUUUCUUAUCAAAUUAUCCAGCAGCGAGAAAGAAAUUCCGCCCCUGCUGCCUGUUAUCUCAGCUUCUCUUUUCACUCUGCAAUUACAGCCAUUUCAGGUCCCUCUCCCUCCCCCCUCCCCAAUUUUGAAGGGAAUAUUCAGAAAGCGAUUUAUUUGUGCAGCUUACAGUGUGAGCAGACUUCGGGGGCUUGUCUCCUAACAGUGCUUCCCCUAGGAUUUUGGUUUCCAAUCUUGAAUUUGGCCUCUUUGGCUUUGAUGUGUGAUGUUUCUACUUGACACUCCCACUCAGGAACAUCAGUCAACACGGACUGCAAAUAUCAGGGAGGAUGCCAGACUCGUUCUAGAUGAUUCGUUCUGACAAAAGGACAAGGCUUGGCUCAUCCUCAAAGAUUAUUCAGAUUAUGCACCUUGCCAGUUUAUUUGUGUUUUGCCCCAGAGGGCAUCCUGCAAGCCCCCGGAAAAACUUAAGAGAUGUGAACAUCUUGCUCUUUCUGCACCCAAAGAGAGCCUCCUGAUCAGCUUCCAGGGAAGUCAGCACAGCCUUAGCCAUGCAGUGUGUUUCUGAAGAGUCAGUCCAGCUGUGUUAAACUGUACAAUGGUGCUUUAUGGGGCCAAGGCAGAUAGGACCGUGCAGAGUUGAUCAGCCUGGGAUGAACUGAGACAGGAGUGCCCCUGCUGUGAUAGAAGCAGCAUAUUCAGGGCACAUGUUAUGAGUCCAGAAGAGAAAGUUAAGUGUUGUGUGUGAAAACAGCUAUGGCUUCAAUGAUACAGGCAUUGCUUUCAUUACAUGAAUGCAAUUGCCCUAAAAAAUGGAAACAGAAAGAGGAUUUAGGACAGUGAAUCCACAAUGGGGCCUCAAAAUGGGGGUCCUAGGACCUUCAGAACUGACAGCCAUGAGGCUGCAGUAUUUUUCCUCAAGAAACAUUUAUGAUACAUGUGGGGAGGGAUGGUGGAACAGAGGCUGCUUCCUAAUCUCCAGUGAUGGUGCCCUGGGCUGGGGGUGGGAACAGAGGCCCCACCUGAGCAAGCAAAUAACAGAGGUCCUUCUUAGAACUCUUAGUAGGGAGAAGCUCUCUGUAGGUGACUUCAUGGUGUCAAUUCUGCAGGCCUUCUGAACCUACCCAGGCAUGCUAGUCCCACAGUGUUCAUGAGCAGAGGCUCUGGGGAACAAAAAGAGUGAGUUGGAUAGGAGACAGGAGACAAUCAUAGCAAGGCAGGUCUAACAAGUGAGUUUUGACAGUGAAAGGGGGAGAAAACCCAGUGAGCAGUGCCAAAUCCAACAAAAGUCUCCAUGUCCUCAUAGGUGAAGAUGAGAGGGGUGAGGACAACUGGACACAAUUUUGGUGGAGAGCUGGAAGGACCUUGUGUUGAUGAGAAGAUAUGACCUCCCUAUCAGGCUAUGGAGGGAUAAUAAGCAGGACCAAGGAAUACCAAGAGGUAGAAAAGAAGGAUAGGCACCGCAUGACAUUAGAGGUCAUGCCUGGGCCAUCCUGAGGCUUUGCAAGAGAGAAGGAUUUUGGAGAAUUGCAGUCCAGAGAGUUCCCUUGUGGGCUUUCAGCUCCUAGAUUAUGGUCUUGAAAGCUGAUGACAGGAGCCUAGAGAUGGGGCUAAGUACAUGGAAUGGAGGAGAAACCACAGGGAAUCCUAAGACACUGGGGACAUGUUGGGCAAUGAAAGAUGUGACUCACUGGUAAGGAGGUCUAACAAAAAGCAUGAUCUCCAAAAAUUUAGGGUAUUGCUAAGGUGGCACAGGGCAAUUAGUCCUCUCAAUUUUAAGGAAAACUGAGCCAUAAAUUAGAAUGCAAAUAAAGAUUUUAGAAACCUCUUCCCACUUCCCUUCAAUAUUGAUAUUUAAUGCAAGGAUUGCUCUGACCUCAACUAGACUGUCUACAGACCAAACCAGGCUGUCCCCAGAACUCUGAUUCCUUACCAGCAGCCUGGAUAUGUUAUCUAAAAGAGCAACCAGGAAAGAAGGACCCAUGAAAAUCUAGGCAGGAAGCACCUUCUUCAAUUUUCUAAAAUACAAGAUAAAAAGUGACAACAGCCCAGGGAGAUGAUGUGACAGUGGAAGGAGCAGGAAGAAACAAUAAUCUCUGGCACAAUUCUGGCCACAAUGCUAACCAGAAUUUUGAGAGAGUCUGGGACAAAUGAAGAAGAGAAGCUGGAUCACAAAUAGUAUUUUAUUGGGAAUCACAAUAAAUAGGAUCUUCCUAAACUCUUACUAACCUAGCUUGGGACAUUUGGAAAGUAAUUUAAUAUCUCGAGACUUGAUUUCUUCCUGCAUGUGAGAGUUGAAACAGGUGGUCCUUCAGGUCCCCUCUAAUCCUGGUAUUCUAUAAAUCUGGGUUUCUGGGUAGUUUACAGACUAGAACACUCUCCCGGAUUUUCCAGAGCGAAUACUGUACCUCUGAUAGGGCUUCAGCCAAUUCUGUGAUUUUUCCUAUUAUCCCAGAGAAUAUCUCCACCUAGAAAAUGCUGGGGAUGGAUCCUUUAUACUAGUAAAGAGAUUACACCAAUUAGUGCUAAGUUUCCCCAUAGCCCUGAGUUUACCAUGCAUUUUACUCUCAGUAUGGUCCAAGCCAUUCCUACCUCAUUAAUUUACCAAGAAAUACAUUCAGUUGGAAUGUGGUACUGUUGCAAAGCCAGAUGAGCCAACCAGUCAUGAAGGAGACCUAAACCCAUAUACCAAGCCCAGUAUCUCAAAGAAAGACCGUUGAGUUUUGCUUGGCUUUUCAGUCCAGCGAUCAGGUAAAAUGUGCUGGGUAGACUUUAACUAUUAUAUGACCCUAAUAAUUAUAGUGCUUUUACUUUGGAGCCCAGGGGAAAUGUCACAGGUGCUCCAGCCUGAGCUCUGGGCCACCUGGACCUCCCCUAAGUCAUGCCUGGACUCCUGUUCCAAAGCAGAACUGUUUUUACUCUAUUCCCAGCAGUGGACUCUGUACCAGGACUUUUGGGGUGCAUGUUAUCUCCACUGGGAACCCAGUAUUUGUUCAUUCAUGCUCUCUUGGAAUACUUACUGUGAUGAAGGCACUUUGUGGGUACAAUGAAAAUUACUCUUUUGGUGUUCCUAUAACAUUUGUUUAUUUGAUCCUCUAACUCAGGAGUCAGCAAACCACAGCUCCUGCCCCACAUCCAGCCCUCUGCUUGUUUAGAAUAGUUUUUACAUUUCAUGAGGUUGAAAAAUGAAGUAUAAUAUUUGUUAAAUGUGAACCUUUUACUCAAUCCAGACUUUAUUGUCUAUAAAUAAAGCUAUAGUAGAGCAAAACUAUGGUAGGCGGAAUCUAAAAUGACCCCCAGUGACAAUCCCUCUUGUAUAAUCUCCUCCCCUUGAUUGUGGGCAAACCCUGUGAAUAUAAUGAGAUUUCACUGCUGUGAUUAUGUUACAUUAUACGGUAGAAGGGAUUAUUGCAGGUAUAAUUAAGGUUACUAAUCAAUUGACUUUGGCUAGUCAAUGGGAAAGUUACUCAGGUGGGUCUAAGGUAAUCAUAUGAGCCCUUUAAAAGUAAAGGGUUCUCCCUGGCUGGGAGGAGAAGAGGAAGUUAGAGAGAUGUCCUUCCCCUGGGUUGGAAGAGAACAACCAUUCAUAUUAUGAAUGGCCUAUGAGAGACCUGAGAGAGACCUCUAAGAACUGAGAAUGGCUCCCACUGACAUGCAGCAAGGAGGCUGGUGUAUCGAUCCUACAACCCCAAAGAGCUGGAUUCUUCCAAACCGUGAGUAAGUUUGGAAGCAAAUUCUUACCCAGAGCCUGCAGAUGAGAGCUCUUCUGGCCAACACCUUCUUGUCAGGCUUGUCAGACCCUAAGUAGAGAAUUCUAGGCCAAUUAGACUUCUGACCUAUAGAACUAGAAUUAGUAAAUAAGUGUUGUUUUAAGACACUAAAUUUGUGGUCAUUUGCUAUGCAGUGAUAAAAUGAUAAUAAAAGAACUAUGCUUAUUCAUGUGCAUAUCAUUUCUGACUGCGUUUGCACUAUAUUAGCAGAGUUUAGCUCCAACAGAGACCACAUGGCCCACAAAACCUGAGAUAUUUACUAAUCUGACGCUGAAAAAGUAUAUCAACCUGUGUUAUAAUAAAAAAAUGUAAUCUCACAUGAGAUGUAUUUGGUCAGUUUUUUGUCUGACCCAAGGCUUUCAAGAAAUAGGGCUUACAUUUGGAACCACUCAGCAAACAUUCCUUUCAUUCAACUAAAUUAGGCCAAAAAACUAGUAGACACCAGGCUGUCCUGCAGACCCUCUCUCCCUUCCAUUCUUACAAGGCUGGGGAAGGAGACAGAGUGUCCAUGUAUUUAGAGAGAAAAAAAAAUUAGACAAAGGUGUUCUAUAUUGGAGAUUGUCAUUUUCUACAUUAUGAGUUUCUGUAAUGGUUGAAUUUAUGUAAUAAAUUUUUAUUAAAUUAGUAAUAAUUAUAACAUUAUUUUUAAAGGCUACACUGUGCUUCACUUUGUUGUUUCUUGAGGCAGUGGCCUGGAGAAGAUAAUGUAUGAAAACUCUUGCUUUGUGACUAGAAUUCAUUCCACUGCUUCUUGAUUUUUCUUCUCUUCAUGAUGUCCCUUUGACCUUAACAGUGGAAUAAGUCAGGACAAUCCAAUUUUUCAUUCACUAAUAUUGGUGAUCUAGGAGAGUAAUUUUCAACGAUUUUAGAAUUUGUGUCUUCUAACACACACACACACACACAAAUGAAAAGAUUUGUCAUUGUAUGUAUUUAGCUUUGAAUUGAGUUAAAACUCAUGUGAUUCUGAGGAUGGGGAGAAGCUGAAGAGGAUGUAUUCGUGUCCUAGGGUUGCUGUUACAAAUUACCACAAACUAGGAGGCUUAAAAACAGAAAUUUAUUCUUACAGUUUUGUAGGCCAGACACCUAAAAUCAAGGCGGCACUGAUUCUUCGACGGGAAGUCUCUCAGGGAAGGUUCUAAGGUUCUUCUAAGCAGUUUCUAAAGGAGAAUCCAUUCCAUGCCUUUCUCCUAGCUUCUGGUGGCUGCUGGCAACUCUGAAUUCCCUUGGCUUUUAGCUGAGUAACUCCAAUUUCUGCCUCUGUCUUCACACGGCCUUGCCCUCUGUUUGUCUGUGUCUCAGAUCUCUCUCUGCCUUUAUCUUAUGAGGACACCUGUCACUGGAUUUAGGCCUACCCCAAAUCCGGGAUGAUCUCAUCUUGAGAUCCUUAACUUAAUUACAUCUGCAAAGACCCAUUUAUUUGCCAAAAAGGUCACAGCUGUGGCUAUGAGGGUUAGGACUUGGACAUUUUUUUUUUUUUGAAAGCCACAAUUCAACCCACUCUAGAGGUAUUUAAUAUGUUCUCAGAGCUUAUAGGGAAGACUCUCAAUCUCAUAAAUAGCAAUUGAAAUCAACAAAGAUGUCCUAUAUUGUAGUGAAAGUUAUUUUUUCCCUCAUAGAACUUUAUGGAUACUCAGCGUUUCCCUCUGUUAUCCUGUGAUUAUAGGUUGGACAAUUCCUCAGUGACGAGGCAUAUGAGAGAUGGCAAGCUUUCACAGUAUCUUAUAUGGGUACCCCUUUUUGUCUUUACCUUUUUACCCAUCUGGACAAAACCAAAGAAUCGUGCAACAUUAGAAGUGUCAAAAGUCAGAGUAGUUAUCCUCAAGUGUUAGAUCCAGAAUAGAACCCUGUGGAGCCUUUCUGUAAGUGGAAAAUUGUUGGUGUUCUCUAGCAGAAGAGGAUGGUUCUCUUUGGGAAUGAGUCCAUGCCCCUUAUUGUCCAUUUGGCCUUGGGAAAAUCUGAUGCUGUGAUCUGGUUUCUCUCUCUGUAAAGAAGGUAUAACAAUGCCUUGCUACCUUACCACGGUGUUGUGUGAAUUUGCUGACACCCAUAAAGCUCCCUGAAAAUGAAGAGGCUUACGUAAGUCCCUGGUAUUAUUCGCACAGCAAAUGUUUUCCCCUGAGAAUAAAGUCAUAAAUGGUACCAUUGUGCAGCCGGUGGAACGUGUUCAAAAGUUUCCGUUCACAACUAGUAGAUCAAGUUGUGGGUGGCUGUAUGGACUUUCUGUGCUCAUGCCAAGCUGCAUCCAAAACAGUCUGCACAAUGGGCUCUCCUGGAAUGAAAAGCUGUACUGUAAGAGAUGGCCAGAUCAUGGCAUCGCAUCACAUGGGACAGUCCUAUGUAGCCAGUGACUUCAUAUGCACCUUUUCUUUCUUGCACCUCUUCCAGCAGAAAGAAGUAAUAGCAGAGACAGUGGUAACAUGGCUGUCUAACACGGCAGCAAUUGAAAGUCAAUUCUCUUCUACCACAUUGAAAAACUUUACAAGGCUAAGGAUGUAUGAUUGUGAAGGAUUAUAAUUAUAACCUUUCUUUCUUUCUUUCUUUCUUUCUUUCUUUCUUUCUUUCUUUCUUUCUUUCUUUCUUUCUUUCUUUCUUUCUUUCUUCUCUCUCUCUCUCUUAAUUUUGGGGCCAGUAAAGUCAUGUUACAAACCAGAUUAAGUGUUCAGGUUAAGAACCUAUUCUCCUUAAAUACAGUUCAUUUUAGUGGGCAUAUGUGGGAACAGUGUGGACAGAAUGCCACUGGCUGACAUAGGAGAUAGGAGAGGAUCUUCUUUCUACCAUCAUGAGCCCUGGAAAUACUCUGAGACAUGAUACAGGAAAAUGCCUUCCCUCUUUUAAAAAGGUUUGGGAUUCUCUGUGCUCAGAUGUUACACCUGAGAAAAUGACAGAUACUUUAAUUAAAUGAGAGGAAGAUUAGCUACUGAAGAUAUUUUAAUUAUUUUUUAAAGGAAGUCAUGUUUAAUUAGAGAUAUUUGGGGAUUAUACUAAUAGGCUUACUUGUAUCAAGGUUACUCCCCUGAAUGGAGAAUAUUCUUACAUGAAAAAUCAAAGGAGGAAUCACAGAAUAAUGGAAUUUUUGAGCUGUGAGUAACCUACCUUGAUAUUAAACUAUUUGAUAACUUUUCAAAUGCCCUGGACAAACUGACAUUUUUUCCCUUUCUUUUCAAAGGCAACCAUGGGCAAAAAAUCUUGAUGUUAAUGGAAUUAGGUCAAUAAAAGUAAAAUCUUUUUAUUUUAAUGCAGAGGCUGUGGAGGAGUGCUGUGCAUGGGUACAUGGGAUUCCCUUGAGCCCCUCACUCCCAUACUCCAGACACAUUCUGUUUUCAGAUAAUCUUUGAUUCAUUCAUUCAGUGCCCAUUUGUUGAACACCCACCAUGUAUUCACCAGUGCUGGAAGUACAAAAAAAUAAUAGGCACGUUCACUGUCUUCAUGGAGCCCCUAACCCAGUAAAGAACAAAGUGACAAGUAUUGUGAUGGAAUAACUGAAAUAACUGAAAGGAAUUUCAUCAUUAUGUCUUGCUUCAGGCCUUAAUAUUCAAGGUCUUGGCACCUUCUAUUGACUUGACUUUUCUCCCUUGAAUUCCUUUUGCCAUACAUAUCAUGAGAACCAUGGCCCAUAUAGCGUCACAUGGUUCUCUUCUAGUUUAAGGGAGCUUCAGUCACCUCCUGGAGGAUGUGGAGUAGCACAGGUGCAGUGGUCAGGGGAAGGCUCUUGUUUCCAGGAAAACCACACAGCCAGCCUGGAGGACGUUGCAUGAAUAUUUCUAUGUGACUAGACCCAUCUUAGACACUUGAACUGUUGCCAGAGUUUUUUCAUCAGUGUACAGUCUGGAGACCCAGAGGCUGGGUAGUGCUGAUCAUUGUGACCAAGUUAAGAGGUUCUGAAGGAGCUAUAUGCCUGAACAAGGCCAAGCAUGCUUAUGAGCCUGAGAGACAUAACAAUUUCAGCACUGUGAUAUGCUGGCUUUUUGGUAGCUUCAAGGAAGCAGACACUAAUAUCUCUGAUAAACUCCCUGGACCUCUGACCACAGACUGCUUUCCCCUUUCAUGUUAGUCCAGUGACCAGGGGCCAGGCCAUCUGGGGAAAAGAAGGGAUGAGAUAGAGAGAUGAUUCAAGGAGAAGGCAGUACAUUCUCCACUCUGUUCCUAAGGCUUGGGGUAUUCCUUCAGCAGUUUCACAGCAGACUCUAUUAGUUACUUAUUCUAUAUCCAGUCCUCCACUUCUUUCAAGGUUUCUUAAGGGAAGCAAUAUGCCUAGUUAUUGCUUUGCUUUCCUACCCUGUCUCACUGCUGACAGAAGCUUAUGACAUAACCUGAGCCAUUGAGAUAUAAGCUGAAGUCAGGUUGGGACUUUUGAAAAAAGUUUUGUUUUCUUGCUAAAAAGGGACCCAUGUAUGUGGCACCAUUCUUCCUGUCCCCUCUUCAUUCUUCCUUGGACAUGGACAUGAUGUCAGGAGAGCAACAGCCAUUUUGUAGCCAAGAGGCAGUAAAGAUGAAGACAAAGCAAAGAUUCUAGGCAAAGUGGAAUAGGAAGAUCCAUGUAUGAAUGUAUAUAUUUUUUAAUUUUAAUUCCAGUUGUUUAACAGAGAAUUAUAUUAGUUUCAGACGUACAAUAUAGUGAUUCAACAAUUCCACAUAUCACCCUGUGCUAAAUAUGAGAAGUACAUUCCUUAAUAUCCAUCAUCUAUUUUACGCAUUCCACAACCCACCUCCCCUCUGGUAACGAUCAGUUUGUUCUCUAUAGUUAAGAGUCUGUUUCUUGAUUUGUCUCUCUCUUUUAUUCCCUUUGCUCAUUUGUUUUGUUUCUUAAAUUCCACAUGUGAGUGAAAUCAUAUGGUAUUUGUCUUUCUCUGACUGCCUUAUUUCACUUAGCAUUGUUCUAACUCCAUCCACAUUGUUGCAAAUGGCAAGAUUUCAUUUUUUUUUUUUGUGGCUGAAUAAGAAUCCAUUAUGUAUAUAUAUCACAUCUUCUUUAUCCAUUCAUCUAUAGAUGGACACUUGGGCUGCUUUUUUGUCUUAGCUAUUGUAGAUAAUGUUGUUAUAAACAUCAGAGUGCAUGAAAUAGUGAUUUUGUAUUCCUUGGGUAAAUACCCAUUAGUGAAAUUGCUGGAUCAUUGGGUAGUUCUGUUUUUAACUUUUUAAGGAAUCUCUAUACUAUUUUCCACAUUAGCUGCACCAGUUUGUAUUCCCACCAACAGUGCAUGAGGGAUUCUUUUUCUCCACAUCCUCAUCAACACCUGUUAUUUCUUGUGUUCUUGACUUUGGCCAUUCUGACAAGUAUGAGGUGAUAUCUCAUUGUAGUUUUGAUUUGAAUUCCCCUGACAGUGAUGUUGAGUAUCUUUUUAUUAUGUCUGUUGGCCAUCUGCAUUAUUUGUUUUUUAGGUGUUGAGUUGUAUCAAUUCUUUGUAUAUUUAUCUCUUUUGGAUACUAACCUUUUAUUGGAUAUGUGCUUUGCAAAUAUCUUCUCUCAUUCCAUAUAUUGCCUUUUAGUUUUAUUGAUUGUUUACUUUGCUGUGCAGAGGCUUUUUAUUUUGAUGUAGUCCCAACAGUUUAUUUUUAAUUUUGUUUUUCUUGCCUUAGGACCCUAUCUAGAAAAAAGUUGCUAUCACCCAUGUCAGAGAAGUUACUGCCUGUGUUGCCCGUUUUCUCCUCUAGGAUUUUUAUGGUUUCAUGUCUCACAUUUAGGUCUUUUUUUUUUUAAUUUUUUUUAAUGUUUAUUUAUUUUUGAGAGAGAGACAGAGUGUGAGCGGGGGAGGAGCAGAGAGAGAGGGAGACACAGAAUCGGAAGCAGGGUCCGGGCUCUGAGCUGUCAGCACAUAGCCUGACACGGGGCUCGAACUCACAGACCACGAGAUCAUGACCUGAGCUGAAGUCGGACGCUCAACUGACUGAGCCACCCAGGCGCCCCUCACAUUUAGGUCUUUAAUCCAUUUUGAUUUUAUUUUAGCCUGCAGUCUAAGAAAGUAGUCCAGUUUCAUUCAUUUGCAUGUAGCUGUCCAGUUUUCACAAUACCAUUUGUUUAAGAGACUACCUUUUCCCCAUUAGGUAUUCUUUCCCACUUUGUCAAAGAUUAAUUGACCAUAUAGUUGUGGGUUCCUUUCUGGAUUUUCUGUUCUAUUCCAAUGGUCUAUGUGUCUGUUUUUGUGCCAGUACCAUACUGUUUUGAUUAUGACAGCUUUGUAUUUUUUUGUUUUUGUUUUUUGUUUUGUGUUUGUUUCUUAGAGAGAGAGGGCACACGAGCAAGUGGACAAGCGGGGAAGAUGGUGAGAGAGAGAAUCUUAAGCCAACUCCAUGCUUAGUUUGAAGCUUGACACAGGGCUCUAUCCCAAAACCCUAGGAUCACAAUCUGAGCUGAAGCCAAGAGUCAGAUGCUCAACUUAGUGAGCCAUGCAGCCUCCCCUGAUUAUGACAGCUUUGUUAUAGAACUUGAAGUGAUGCUUCCAGCUUUGUUUUUCUUUUUCAAGGUUGCUUUGGCUAGUUGGGGUCUUUCAUGGAACCGUACAAAUUUUAGGAUUUUUUGUUCUAGCUCUGUGAAAAAUGCUGUUGGUAUUUUCACAGGGAUUGCAUUAAAUGCAUGGAUGGCUUUGGGUAGUAUAGACAUUUCAAUAUAUGUUUCUCCAAUCCAUAAACGUGGAAUGUCUUUCCAUUUCCUUGUGUCAUCUUCAGUUUCUUUCAUCAGUGUUUUAUAGUUUUCAGAGUAUAGAUCUUUUACCUCUUUGGUUAGGUUUAUUCCUAGGUAUCUUACUAUUUUUUUGGUAUAAUUGUAAAUGGGAUAAAUUACUUAAUUUCUCUUUCUGGUACUUCAUUAUUGGUGUAUAGAAAUGCAGAUUCCUGUAUGUUGGUUUUGUAUCCUGUGACUUUACUGAAUCCCUGUUAUCAAUUCUAGCAAUUUUUUGGUGGAGUCUCUCUGAUUUUCUAUAUAUAGUAUCAUAUCACCUGCAAAUAGUGAAAGCUUUACUUCUUUCUUGCCGAUUUGGACGUCUUUUAUUUCUUUUUGUUGUCUGAUUGCUGUGGCUAAGACUUAAAGGACUAUGUUGAAUAAAAGUGGUGAGAGUGGACAUCCCUAUCUUUUUCCUGACUUUUGGAGAAAAGCUUUCAGUUUUUCCCCAUUGAGGAUGAUGUUAGCUGUGGGUUUUUCAUAUAUGGGCUUUAUUAUAUUGGGUAUGUUUCCCCUAAACCUAUCCAGUUGAGGGUUUUUAUCAUGAAUGGGUGUUGUACUUUGUCAAAUGCUUUUUCUGUAUCUAUUGAAAUGAUCAUAGGGUUCUUAUCCUUUGUUUUAUUGAUGUGAUGUAUCAUGUUGAUUGAUUUGCAAAUACUGAACCACACUUGCAACCCAGGAAUAAAUUCCACUUGAUGACGAUGAAUGAUUUUUUUAAAUGUAUUGUUGGAUUUGGUUUGCUAGUGUUUUGUUGAGAUUUUUGCAUCUAUGUUCAUCAGAAAUACUGGCCUGUAGUUCUCUUUUUUAUGGUGUCUUUAUCUGGUUUUGGUAACAGGGUAAUUCUGGCCUCAUAGAAUGAGUUUGGAAAUUUUUCUUCCUUUUUUGUUUUAUGGAAUGGCUUGAAAAGAAUAGGUACUAACUUUUAAAUGUUUGGUAGAAUUCACCUGUGAAGCCAUCUGCUCCUGGACUUUUGUUUUUUGGGAUUUCUUUGAUUGCUGAUUCAAUUUCAUUGCUGGUUAUCAGUCUGUUCAAAUUUUGUUUCUUCUUGUUUCAGUUUUGGGAGUUUAUAUGUUUCUAGGAAUUUAUCCAUUUCUUCCAGGUUGUCCAAUUUGUUCACAAAUAGUUUUUCAUAAUAUUCUCGUAUAAUUCUUUGUAUUUCUUUGCUGUUAGUUGUUAUUUCUCCUUUCUCAUUUGUGGUUUUACUUGAGGAUACAUUCAUUUAAUUAUUCAACUAAUAUUUACUGAGUGUCCACUAUGUGCUAAGAACUGUUUUAGUUUGUUAGAGAUAUAGAAGUGAGCAAAAUAUACAUUUUUUUUUCUCCUUGAGGUUUGCAUUUUAGUGGUGACAGGAGAGAAAGAUAAUAUAUACUGUAUAAUAAGUGAAAGAUAUAGUAUGUCACAUAGUGAAAAGUACUCUAGAGAAAAGAACAGCAGACAUACAUGUGGUGCGGCCCCAAAUGCUAAUGUAAGGACUUUGAUACUCCUCUGAGCAAAUCAUUGGAGGGUUGUGCAUAGAGAUAAUGAUGUGAUCUGACUUAAAUUUUAACAAGAUCACACUGGCUGUUAGGUUGAGGAUAGAUUAAAAGAAGAAAGAUAAAGCUAAGUCCCCUAAUGGCAUCUGUGAACAGCUAAGCCAACACUAGUAAUCACUUGCUUCCAGAAAUCUUAUCUGUGGAAAAUAACUCAUUAUUUUUUCACACUACUCCUAGUCACAUAUUCCAUCACUUACAGCCAUGCUCAUUUCUAACUGAUAUAGCUAGUUACCAUGAUUUGUUGCAUAUCUACUGUGUGCCGAGUGUUCUGUUAGUCCUGGAGAGACAAAUACGAACAUACAUGUAGUUGUCAUUAUCAAAAAGCCUUUCCAGGGACUUACAAUCCAAUUCUGGGGGAACCAACAGGCAAACCAUUACACAGCAAUACGGCAAUUGCUUUAGCAAUGUUUGUGUGGAGAAUGCGGUGAGCAUAAGGUAGACGGGAGAGCACCUAGCCAAGUGAAGGAGGCAGGGAAGUCUUUAUGAAAGCUCAGCAGGUGAUUAUCAGGUGAACAAUCCAGUGAAGGGCAUUCCAGCCAGAGGAACUAACUGCAUGUGCAAUAUAAAACAUGGAGUGUUCAGGACCUAUAAAUAGAUGAGUAUUCUUAGGAGAGUAGAGUUUGGGAGGUGGGGAGAAGAUGGUAAGAAGUAAUGGGAGGUUAGGCUGGAGGUGGAUGGGAAUGGUGAUGGAGGAUUUUGUAUGAGUCAAAGAAGAAUAUGAUUUAUCCUUUAGCCUACAGGGAGGCAGUGGAGUCAUCACUCUGGCAGUAGGAUUAACAAGUACUUGUAAGGGAGUGAGACUGGAGAAAAGACAGGAAUCCAGGAAACAGGCAGUACAACCAGAGCCAAGGCAGACCUGGGAUGGGGAGGAAGGGAUGCAGAGCUGGUAGUUUGUAUGGGGUGAGAGACAAGGAGACGAUCCAGGAUGACCGACACACUGCAUAUACCUCUGCAUGAAUAGCCAGAUAGUAUUUUUGGCAUAGAGAUCACACCAGAAGACACUGAACAGUCUUUUUUUUUUCAUGGACUAUAUUAAAGUAUGACUGGUUUUGACAUAAGCUCCUGGAGAUUGUGUCUGCUUAGUUAAUACCAGGCAAUUCCACUCAGCUAGCUUUGUGGAAGCUAGAGGGUAGCACUAAUACCUUGUCCAGGCUGUUUGCCUUCUUCCAUGUGGCUGUGUGUUCAGUCCACCAUUUGAAUGUAUUUUAUAUUCUCAUCAUCACUGCAUGAUGGGUAAUAAUACUAACAAUGGCCAUAGUUAGGAAUUAAUAUAUGAAAGACAUGUUACAUAUACUCUUUUAAAUUUUGUAAUAGCAAUGCAAAGAAAAUAUAAUUAACUUGAGGCCUAGAGAGGUCAAAUGACUGCCCUAAAGCCACAUACCUGGUGAGGCAGAAUGUGAUUUGUACUCUGGACCACCUGACAAAGACUGCUGUUUCUGCUGUGUUGCAAGGUUACCUACCUUAUUAUAACCCAUUGUCCACUUAUGAUUCAGGACUCUACAUUUUGUCCACAAUCGCAGAGAAGAAAAAAGAGUAUGACAUUUACAAAAUACUUUCAUAUACAUUAAAGACAAAUUCUUCCAAGCAUGUUUUGCCUCAUUUCCAUGAAGGGAUUUGAGUCUCUCAGGGUUCCAAAAUUUCCAAAGGACUAAAAAGCAUAUAGUGACAAAACAAAUUUAAGUACCAAAUUACUAACUGAUAAACCGUAAUUUAUAAUACAAGACAAUCCAGUUAAUAAAAAUCACACAGUUCCUUCACAGAGAAUGGAUUCAGGAAGGAAUGCUUCAAUUCCUUAACCACAGAGAAGAAUAGAGCAUUCUAGAACCUAAAUGUGAGCAAGACAUAGGAAUGAUUAUUCCAAAAUCUACCCAUGAGCACUUAAUUCAGUGGUGGUACACCAUCACUUGGUAAUUAAUUUUCUAAGCAUCUACUGUAUUUGGAGUGCUGCUCUUGGUGCUGUGAAGAUGAGAAGGAUGGAGACACAAGAAGAAACAAAGUCAUGGGUCUCAUUUCUCUAGGUCUUUCAAGAAAGUAAAAGAUAUACUUUUUUUUCUGAAAGAUUAAAGCAACAAAAGGUAUCCCAAUGGCAUUACUCAGGACCACAGAGUUCAAUAGCUGUACCUAAGAGAUCACCUGAUCUAAACUUUGAAGUUCACAGAUAAUGAGAUUAAUCCCAAAAAAGUUUGUCACUUGCCUGAGGUCACAAAGAUACCUGGUGUGAAAACUUCCUCUCCCAUGAAUCUCUUUUUUGCUGUAACUUUAUUCAAAAAUUGAUUUUCAAGUAUAUAGCACAUUCACCUGAAAGGGGAAAAUAUUUCCCUUCUAUUUAAUUCUGGAAAACCAUAAAAACAAAGCAAAGAAAUGCCAGUCUCUCAUUUGGAAGGGGCCUGAUCAUAGUGGGUUAUUACUGUGUGCCAGUAAUAACUGCACUGCAGCUUUUAAAAUAUAAUAGCAAAAUAUAGGAAACAACCUCAAUUUCUAUCAUUAGAGAACUGAAUACAUUGGAAUCUAUCCACACAAUGGAAUAUGAUACAACCAUUAACAAAUAAGCAGAUUUAUAUGUAAUUGAUAUAGACAUAAUUUAAGUGAGAAAAUCAAGAUGUAGAUCAAUGUUAUAUAUUCCUUUAACCAGUUUUUUUUACAUAGUCUUGAGUCGUGAAUUAAGAUAAAUUUUUUUUUCCAGUAAUGGCUAUAGUAGGUAUUGUCAUUUGCAUUGCUCCAAAACUAUUAAACAUUUUUUCACAUUUUUAAAAGUUUAUUCAUUUUGAGAGAGAGAGAGAGAGAGAGAGUGAGCAGGGGGAGGGGCAGAGAGAGAGGGAGAGAAUCCCAAGCAGGCCCUAUGCUAUCAGCUCAGAACCUGACUUGGAGCUCAGUCCCAUAAACCAUAAGACCAUGACUUGAGUUGAAAUCAACAUUUGGGUGCUUGACUGACUGAGCAACCCAGAUGUGCCUUUUUUCACAUUUUAAUACUUUCCCACAAUUUAAAUCCGUUUUACAUGUAGAAUAAUAAAUGAUACUACAUUGCCAUUUCCCAUAUUCCAAGUGUGAGGACAUAAUUUAGUUUCCAUAAAAAAGAUACAUUUACAAAAGACUUUGAUUUAGAACUUUUGUUUAAAAAGGCAGGACAUGGGGAGUCUGGGUGGUUCUGUUGGUUAAGCAUCUGACUCCUGAUUUUGGCUCAGGUCAUGAUCUCAUGAUCAGGAGAUUGAGCCCCACGUUGGGCUUUACACUGGGUGUGGAGUCUGCUUAAGAUUUUCUCUCUCCCUUUGCCCCUCCCUCUCUCUUUCUCU
This is a long non-coding RNA of Acinonyx jubatus (cheetah), 17134 nucleotides long. RefSeq lists it as uncharacterized. The transcript has 4 exons. Lineage: Eukaryota; Metazoa; Chordata; Mammalia; Carnivora; Felidae. The record is from RefSeq and is a predicted model, not a curated record.